RNAcentral lists this non-coding RNA (640 nucleotides) under Microbacterium sp. SUBG005. RNAcentral describes it as "bacterial LSU rRNA". It matches the Rfam family "Bacterial large subunit ribosomal RNA", at positions 510 to 1149 of the family's 2925-position model. The record is from RNAcentral. Lineage: Bacteria; Bacillati; Actinomycetota; Actinomycetes; Micrococcales; Microbacteriaceae.
AAAGGUGAAAAGUACCCCGGGAGGGGAGUGAAAUAGUACCUGAAACCGUUUGCUUACAAACCGUUGGAGCCUCCUUAGUAGGGGUGACAGCGUGCCUUUUGAAGAAUGAGCCUGCGAGUUAGCGAUACGUGGCGAGGUUAACCCGUGUGGGGUAGCCGUAGCGAAAGCGAGUCUGAAUAGGGCGAUUCAGUCGCGUGUCCUAGACCCGAAGCGAAGUGAUCUAUCCAUGGCCAGGUUGAAGCGACGGUAAGACGUCGUGGAGGACCGAACCCACUUAGGUUGAAAACUGAGGGGAUGAGCUGUGGAUAGGGGGUGAAAGGCCAAUCAAACUUCGUGAUAGCUGGUUCUCUCCGAAAUGCAUUUAGGUGCAGCGUUGCGUGUUUCUUGCCGGAGGUAGAGCUACUGGAUGGCCGAUGGGCCCUAGGUUACUGACGUCAGCCAAACUCCGAAUGCCGGUAAGUGAGAGCGCAGCAGUGAGACUGUGGGGGAUAAGCUUCAUAGUCGAGAGGGAAACAACCCAGACCACCAACUAAGGUCCCUAAGCGCGUGCUAAGUGGGAAAGGAUGUGGAGUUGCUUUGACAACCAGGAGGUUGGCUUAGAAGCAGCCACCCUUGAAAGAGUGCGUAAUAGCUCACUGGU